Molecule: unclassified non-coding RNA, 297 nt
Filed under: uncultured fungus
Lineage: Eukaryota; Fungi
Description: partial contains small subunit ribosomal RNA, internal transcribed spacer 1, and 5.8S ribosomal RNA
Rfam family: Eukaryotic small subunit ribosomal RNA (bases 1-73)
Source: RNAcentral
UCAAACUUGGUCAUUUAGAGGAAGUAAAAGUCGUAACAAGGUUUCCGUAGGUGAACCUGCGGAAGGAUCAUUACUGAGUUGGGUCCUAAUGGCCCGAUUCCCAACCCUAUGUCUACAAACUCUUUGUUGCUUCGGUCGGCCAGUUCUUUGAACUACCAGGCACAGCUGUGCCUAGUCCGCGCUGACCGAUAGCCAAUUACAAACCAUUGAAAACAUGAAUAUCUGAGACCAAACAAAAUAAAGCACAAAACUUUCAACAACGGAUCUCUUGGUUCUGGCAUCGAUGAAGAACGCAGC